UACGAAGGGGGCUAGCGUUGCUCGGAAUCACUGGGCGUAAAGCGCACGUAGGCGGCUUGUUAAGUCAGGGGUGAAAUCCUGGAGCUCAACUCCAGAACUGCCUUUGAUACUGGCGAGCUUGAGUUCGGGAGAGGUGAGUGGAACUGCGAGUGUAGAGGUGAAAUUCGUAGAUAUUCGCAAGAACACCAGUGGCGAAGGCGGCCCACUGGCCCGAUACUGACGCUGAGGUGCGAAAGCGUGGGGAGCAAACAGG
This 253-nucleotide ribosomal RNA is filed under the name uncultured bacterium. RNAcentral's name for it is "partial 16S ribosomal RNA". It matches the Rfam family "Bacterial small subunit ribosomal RNA", at positions 524 to 776 of the family's 1533-position model. The record is from RNAcentral.